This 254-nucleotide ribosomal RNA is filed under the name uncultured bacterium. RNAcentral describes it as "partial 16S ribosomal RNA". It matches the Rfam family "Bacterial small subunit ribosomal RNA", at positions 524 to 776 of the family's 1533-position model. The record is from RNAcentral.
UACGGGGGGAGCAAGCGUUGUUCGGAUUUACUGGGCGUAAAGGGCGCGUAGGCGGUCAGCACAAGUCAGUUGUGAAAUCUCCGGGCUUAACUCGGAAAGGUCAACUGAUACUGUGCGACUAGAGUGCAGAAGGGGCAACUGGAACUCUCGGUGUAGCGGUGAAAUGCGUAGAUAUCGAGAGGAACACCUGCGGCGAAGGCGGGUUGCUGGGGUGACACUGACGCUGAUGCGCGAAAGCCAGGGGAGCGAACGGG